RNAcentral lists this ribosomal RNA (468 nucleotides) under uncultured bacterium. RNAcentral's name for it is "partial 16S ribosomal RNA". It matches the Rfam family "Bacterial small subunit ribosomal RNA", at positions 28 to 507 of the family's 1533-position model. The record is from RNAcentral.
GAUGAACGCUGGCGGCGUGCUUAACACAUGCAAGUCGAACGGAAAGGCUCCUGCUUGCAGGGGUACUCGAGUGGCGAACGGGUGAGUAACACGUGGGUGAUCUGCCCUGUACUUCGGGAUAAGCUUGGGAAACUGGGUCUAAUACCGGAUAGGACAACUUUUUGGAUAUUGUUGUGGAAAGCUUUUGCGGUAUGGGAUGAGCUCGCGGCCUAUCAGCUUGUUGGUGGGGUAAUGGCCUACCAAGGCGUCGACGGGUAGCCGGCCUGAGAGGGUGUACGGCCACAUUGGGACUGAGAUACGGCCCAGACUCCUACGGGAGGCAGCAAUGGGGAAUAUUGCACAAUGGGCGCAAGCCUGAUGCAGCGACGCCGCGUGGGGGAUGAAGGCCUUCGGGUUGUAAACUCCUUUCGCUAGGGACGAAGCUUUUUUGUGACGGUACCUGGAGAAGAAGCACCGGCUAACUACGUG